This 495-nucleotide ribosomal RNA is filed under the name uncultured bacterium. Its description in RNAcentral is "partial 16S ribosomal RNA". It matches the Rfam family "Bacterial small subunit ribosomal RNA", at positions 28 to 507 of the family's 1533-position model. The record is from RNAcentral.
GACGAACGCUGGCGGCGUGCCUAAUACAUGCAAGUAGAACGCUGAAGGAGGAGCUUGCUUCUCUGGAUGAGUUGCGAACGGGUGAGUAACGCGUAGGUAACCUGCCUGGUAGCGGGGGAUAACUAUUGGAAACGAUAGCUAAUACCGCAUAAUAGUAGAUGUUGCAUGACAUUUGCUUAAAAGGUUCAAUUGCAUCACUACCAGAUGGACCUGCGUUGUAUUAGCUAGUUGGUGGGGUAACGGCUCACCAAGGCGACGAUACAUAGCCGACCUGAGAGGGGGAUCGGCCACACUGGGACUGAGACACGGCCCAGACUCCUACGGGAGGCAGCAGUAGGGAAUCUUCGGCAAUGGACGGAAGUCUGACCGAGCAACGCCGCGUGAGUGAAGAAGGUUUUCGGAUCGUAAAGCUCUGUUGUAAGAGAAGAACGAGUGUGAGAGUGGAAAGUUCACACUGUGACGGUAUCUUACCAGAAAGGGACGGCUAACUACGUG